UCUACUGAUAGCUUAUGCUCUUCAAGGCCAAGAAAGCAGGACAAUGACCAGCAGAACCGAGCGACACAAGUAGUUCUGGAAUGUCAAAGGGAAUCUUCUGCAUUCUUCCCAGUUUCCUCUUCAUUCCCCUCCGCAGAAACAAGAGUGUCAGAAGUGAAAAUCACAGCCAUCAUUUCUACUUUCGAGCACGGUAAGGUUUAAACAAUCCAAGAGCUCCUUCUGGACAUCGGCAAUAUUACCUUGUUGCUACGAUGGGCCCAAUCUUUGGAGGAACAGAAAUGGAAGGAAAUCAGCCACCUUAUUUAAUUUAAGACGAUUUAUAGUUUCUAUCAAGGGAGCAGCAAAAGGUAGCCCACUGAGCGAGAAAGAAAUCUAGAAUUGGUAUCAAAGCUGUCUGCCAGGCGGUGGCUUCCCUUGUGGACUGACAUUCAUAUCUGAGAACCACCAUCAGAUCUUCACGCCACACCCUUCCCAAUAUCGUAUAUUUAACGCAUACAGUAUACUCUUCAAGAAGCCCAUCUGCCAGCCUGUCAUACCCAACGUCUACAGUCACAAAGGAACCACUUAAUGAUCAGCUGCCGCCUAUUGUUUGUGGAUGGGGAAAGUUCUCUUCAAUUUCACUCUGCUACUCACCUGACCAAGUUUCUUUAUCCAAUAUGAUGACCUAAACCUUCAUUCCUGAGGGAUCUGAGAUAUUGAUGUAUUCUUUCAUUACAUUUUAUCACUGGAGCAGUACAAGAAGGCACCCUCAAGCAUCCCCUGGGCUCCGUACUCUUUCUUGUUGCUAUUAGAUAGUGAUAUUUAUUGACAGAAACAAUCUGCCAUGCCAACCUCAAACACCAUCUUUCGUACAGUUGUUGAAUGGCACAAGAAUUCUGACAAGGCUAGGUGGGCUGGCUCACCCUCCAAUUCAGUGCCUUCCUGUGGGUGCUAAGCCUCUAUAGCAGGAGAUUCCAGAAUUUCUGAGAUGGGAAGUGUCCCAAAUACGACUGAUAGAUAUUCACCAUUCCAAACAUGUCUUCGCCUACCUGAUUCCAGAAUUAUACCAGCAUGGAGUUUUCCUGACUUAAUUGUUCUUGAAAUGACUCCUGAUUCUAACUCCUCUAGUCUUCCAAUGAUUUCAUAAGCACCUAAUUACCUGUAUUAAACCCCUUUCGGCUAAAAUACCUGGAGUGAUUUUUGUUUUCUGCACUGAACCCUGAGCGAUACAGAAAGUAAAUCUUUUAUGAGGUCAUUGGCUAUACCCGUAAGAGAAACCAUUCCCUUUUCUUUCCCCCUUGAUGGCCAAAACGCAUAUAUUCUGUACAUGACAGACAUACAAUCACACAUUGUUCAAAGCAUAUGUCACAUUCCACCUGAUAGCACCUCAACUUUACAAGGUAGUUUCUGAUCUGAAGCUGUAACAGAGUCUUUCAUAGGCCAUUCUACCAUUUUGGGUGACUGUAUAUGCUGCAAAAAAUAAUUUAUUGGCCCUUAGCAUUCAUUUCUAUUUUUUUCUAUAUGCUUUCCUGAUCAACAGAGGCUGGAAAAUUUAAAUCACAUUUCACAACUCCACUGUCAUUUGUAAGAGACCACGUGAAUCUCAGCUGCUUCAACCAUUGCUUUGCUUUUUUGGAUGCAAAAUAGGCUCCCGGUCAAAAACUAUGUCAUGCAGGACACCACUAUGGUAAAUAAAGCCUGCAGCGAAUCUAUGAAUGGUGAGGCAGGUUAAAGCAUGGCAGGCAAGGAAGGCAAACUUAAAGCUACUUUUGUUCCCUGAUUAUAAUAUAUUGAUAUACUUAGGUUCUGGAUAAUUCCUACUGGGUCUGGUACUAUAUUGGGGGCUGCAACUAGCAGGUUGGGCAUUCAGUCAUGGUAGCUGACAAUGGCAGUUAAGGUGAAGUUUACAAGUUGAGGGUAGGUACCCCAAGUGUACUGGGUAUACUGAAACAGUCCACUUCAGGUUAGUGCUAAUUUAUCAUGCAGAGCCAGUGGUAGUUAGUGUCCAUUUCUUCUCCCCAUCCCCCAAUCAAUGGGUCAUAGGAACCUGCCCUGGAGACCAUGAGUGAGUUGAGAAAAAUCCACUUGAGCUACAUCCCACAUAAACCACCCCCACUUGAAAGUGUAUUACAGUUUAGUACACCCAAAAAUAUGGCUGGGUGAAUCACACAGCAUGUACCAUGAGCAGUUGAGAGUGAAUAGUUCUCUCUCAUGUCAUGGUCAAACAUUUACUCUCUUUAAAGCAAGUUUAGAGCUACUUCUCAAUAGACUACUUAACCAAGAACAUGACUUUCAGCCCAAACCUCAGGAGCUUUUGCUAUAUUUUUCCUAAUGACACUUAAUAUAGUCUUCAUACAGCAUCACAGUAUGUCAAGAUGCUUUGUGUAAUGGUCAAAGAAGUAUCCUCUGGCAGGCAGACAAAUCCCUCAAGAAAAAGAAUGCAAGUUCUGGCUGUUCCAAGUUUUCUUGAAUUGGUGAUAAGGUAAGGGUAAGAGGCUAUCAAUGAAGCCCUGACAGCUUCUGGUACACACAGUAAGUGGCUUCAAGCAGCACAGCCAAAUGUGGUAUAGGCUGCUUUCUAAAUAAAAACAGACCCACUAAAUGCUGUGUUUGUUUCUUAAUGGUAGAACAUCCAAACUGUAGUAAAUAACCUAAAAUGUUCCCAACCAAUGAAUCCUCCAGAAACUUCACUAGCAAUUAGACCCCUGUGUUUUCAUGAAUGUAUCUCCCAUUCUCUGGCGUGUGUCUUGCCAAAAUAUGCAGAGCGGCUGCUACUUCAUGUUCUGCAGAUAACAUCAGCAUGAAGUCAUUAAUGUCAUAACUACCUUGGUGUCUUUGGGGUUAAUGAGAUGAUGACGUUCCCUAGAGAUGAAACUGUGGCUUAAAGAGUUUUCAUAACUCUGAGGCAAAGUAGCGAAAGUAUACUGUUAUCCUUGCCAAGUAAAGUGCUGUUCUGUAUCUGAGAUAGAGGCAGCAAGAACUGCAAGAUCAAUAGUUGAGACUCUGUUCAUUUGCUUCAUUAAAGACACCACAUCUGGAAAACGUGAUUUAACUGAAGUCACUGCCUAUUAAGUUUAUGAUAAUCCACCAGCAUUCUCCAAGACCUAUGCACAUUAGAGAGUUAUUUCAGGAAAUGAUAGGAAUCAACAUCUCGCCAGUUUCAAGUGGCUUAUAAUGACAAGUGGCUUAUAAUGACAUCUCUCUCUAAAGUUCCCCCAGGGAUGUGGUAUUGCUUUUUACUAAUUCCCCUGGUAUUGAGAGGAAUUCCAGUGGUUUCCACUUCAUUGUUUCCAAUAUAAUAGGUCAGGAUGCAUUAUAGGGUUUUGCUAUUGCUGAUGAUAUAUAUUCCAAGAAUACAUUCAUGAAUUAAAAGAAAUAAAUGAAGGAUGCAUUCAAUGUCCCACUGGGCCUACUAGGAGGCAGGUUUGGGUUUUAUCUCCAUCACCUGAAUUUCAUAAAACCCAUAUUCUGACAGAAGAACCACA
This is a non-coding RNA of Microcebus murinus (gray mouse lemur), 3464 nucleotides long. The record is from RefSeq and is a predicted model, not a curated record. NCBI's taxonomy places the organism in Eukaryota, Metazoa, Chordata, Mammalia, Primates, Cheirogaleidae.